UACGGAAGGCAGCAGUGGGGAAUAUUGCACAAUGGGCGCAAGCCUGAUGCAGCCAUGCCGCGUGUAUGAAGAAGGCCUUCGGGUUGUAAAGUACUUUCAGCGGGGAGGAAGGCGAUGCGGUUAAUAACCGCGUCGAUUGACGUUACCCGCAGAGGAAGCACCGGCUAACUCCGUGCCAGCAGCCGCGGUAAUACGGAGGGUGCAAGCGUUAAUCGGAAUUACUGGGCGUAAAGCGCACGCAGGCGGUCUGUUAAGUCAGAUGUGAAAUCCCCGGGCUUAACCUGGGAACUGCAUUUUGAAACUGGCAGGCUUGAGUCUCGUAGAGGGGGUAGAAUUCCAGGUGUAGCGGUGAAAUGCGUAGAGAUCUGGAGGAAUACCGGUGGCGAAGGCGGCCCCUGGGACGAAGACUGACGCUCAGGGUGCGAAAGCGUGGGGAGCGAAACAGGAUUAGAUACC
RNAcentral lists this ribosomal RNA (456 nucleotides) under uncultured bacterium. Its description in RNAcentral is "bacterial SSU rRNA". It matches the Rfam family "Bacterial small subunit ribosomal RNA", at positions 340 to 786 of the family's 1533-position model. The record is from RNAcentral.